Long non-coding RNA from Pararge aegeria (speckled wood butterfly), 431 nucleotides. RefSeq lists it as uncharacterized. NCBI's taxonomy places the organism in Eukaryota, Metazoa, Arthropoda, Insecta, Lepidoptera, Nymphalidae. The record is from RefSeq and is a predicted model, not a curated record. The transcript has 3 exons.
UGGGUAAAAUUUGUGUUGUGAAAAGUUGUCCAAGUGGACGUAAACCCCAAAACAAAAAAAAUAGUUCACCUCAGCCUCUUUCGUAUUUCCAACCAACAACACCGGCAAGAUUACAAAAUUGGAAAAUUUCGCUGGGUAUUGAAUUAAAAGCUACUGAUUACAUCUGUCAUCUCCAUUUUAAAGAGGAGCAAAUAAAAAUGUACGAGAAACUGUACAUAAAAGAAGAGCUCGUAAUUAUGCCUUUAGGAAAAAAAAUACUAAAAGAAGAAGCUUUACCAACGAUCCAGCAUCAGUUUAUUCCGGUUCUUUUUCCUAACAAUGACGAACUGCCUCUAAACGAAAAAAUUAAUUCAUUAAGUUGUAUCUAUGACUACUUGAAAUCAGUGGAAAGAUGGCCUUUAUGUGUUGGUACUCAGAUUGACAGUAUAAAG